CGGACGGGUGAGUAACGCGUGAGAAUCUGGCUUCAGGUCUGGGACAACCACUGGAAACGGUGGCUAAUACCGGAUGUGCCGAAAGGUGAAAGGUUAACUGCCUGAAGAUGAGCUCGCGUCUGAUUAGCUAGCUGGUAGAGUAAAAGCCUACCAAGGCGACGAUCAGUAGCUGGUCUGAGAGGACGAUCAGCCACACUGGGACUGAGACACGGCCCAGACUCCUACGGGAGGCAGCAGUGGGGAAUUUUCCGCAAUGGGCGAAAGCCUGACGGAGCAAUACCGCGUGAGGGAGGAAGGCUCUUGGGUCGUAAACCUCUUUUCUCAGGGAAGAACACAAUGACGGUACCUGAGGAAUAAGCAUCGGCUAACUCCGUGCCAGCAGCCGCGGUAAUACGGAGGAUGCAAGCGUUAUCCGGAAUGAUUGGGCGUAAAGCGUCCGCAGGUGGCAAUGUAAGUCUGCUGUUAAAGAGUCUAGCUCAACUAGAUAAGAGCAGUGGAAACUACAUAGCUAGAGUACGUUCGGGGCAGAGGGAAUUCCUGGUGUAGCGGUGAAAUGCGUAGAGAUCAGGAAGAACACCAGUGGCGAAGGCGCUCUGCUAGGCCGUAACUGACACUGAGGGACGAAAGCUAGGGGAGCGAAUGGGAUUAGAUACCCCAGUAGUC
Molecule: ribosomal RNA, 663 nt
Filed under: uncultured cyanobacterium
Lineage: Bacteria; Bacillati; Cyanobacteriota
Description: bacterial SSU rRNA
Rfam family: Bacterial small subunit ribosomal RNA
Source: RNAcentral